GUCUACGACUAUGCCACCCUGAACACACCCGAUCUCGUCUGAUCUCAGAAGCUAAGCAGGGUCAGGCCUGGUUAGUACUUGGAUGGGAGACUAAUGAACCCUUUGGGGAGAGGGGGUGGGUCC
Erinaceus europaeus (western European hedgehog) is the source of this 123-nucleotide ribosomal RNA. The record is from Ensembl. Lineage: Eukaryota; Metazoa; Chordata; Mammalia; Eulipotyphla; Erinaceidae.